UACGUAGGGUGCAAGCGUUGCCCGGAUUUAUUGGGCGUAAAGGGCGCGUAGGCGGCCACGCACGUCCGUUGUGAAAUCGCCCGGCUCAACUGGGCGGGGUCGGCGGAUACGGCGUGGCUGGAGCAAGCUAGGGGGCAAUGGAAUUCCUGGUGUAGCGGUGGAAUGCGCAGAUAUCAGGAAGAACACCCGUGGCGAAGGCGCUCUCUGGAACGCAACUGACGCUGAGACGCGAAAAGCGUGGGGGAGCAAAACAGG
RNAcentral lists this ribosomal RNA (255 nucleotides) under uncultured bacterium. Its description in RNAcentral is "partial 16S ribosomal RNA". It matches the Rfam family "Bacterial small subunit ribosomal RNA", at positions 524 to 776 of the family's 1533-position model. The record is from RNAcentral.